GCUGGGCAUGGUGGCACAUGCCUGUAAUCCCAGAGGCUUGGGAAGCUGAGGCAGAAGCAUCAUUGAGUUCAAGAUCUGCCUCAGCCUCUU
Molecule: small RNA, 90 nt
Filed under: Marmota monax (woodchuck)
Lineage: Eukaryota; Metazoa; Chordata; Mammalia; Rodentia; Sciuridae
Source: RNAcentral